UGGGGAAUAUUGCACAAUGGGCGAAAGCCUGAUGCAGCAACGCCGCGUGAGCGAUGAAGGCCUUUGGGUCGUAAAGCUCUGUCCUUGGGGAAGAAACAAAUGACGGUACCCAAGGAGGAAGCCCCGGCUAACUACGUG
Molecule: ribosomal RNA, 138 nt
Filed under: uncultured Eubacteriales bacterium
Lineage: Bacteria; Bacillati; Bacillota; Clostridia; Eubacteriales
Description: uncultured Clostridiales bacterium partial 16S ribosomal RNA
Rfam family: Bacterial small subunit ribosomal RNA
Source: RNAcentral